ACAGUACUCCUUCCGUCCAACAAAGGAUGUUUCAACUUUAACUAAAUUUGAAUGCAUUUGUACACUAAGUCAUGUCAAAUACAUCUAAAUUUUAAAAAACUUGAGACAUUUUUUGUUGUACGGAGGUAGUAUACC
This is a non-coding RNA of Brachypodium distachyon (stiff brome), 135 nucleotides long. NCBI's taxonomy places the organism in Eukaryota, Viridiplantae, Streptophyta, Magnoliopsida, Poales, Poaceae. The record is from Rfam.